RNAcentral lists this ribosomal RNA (368 nucleotides) under uncultured organism. RNAcentral describes it as "bacterial SSU rRNA". It matches the Rfam family "Bacterial small subunit ribosomal RNA", at positions 526 to 896 of the family's 1533-position model. The record is from RNAcentral.
CGUAGGGUGCAAGCGUUAAUCGGAAUUACUGGGCGUAAAGCGUGCGCAGGCGGCUUUGCAAGACAGAUGUGAAAUCCCCGGGCUUAACCUGGGAACUGCAUUUGUGACUGCAUGGCUGGAGUGCGGCAGAGGGGGAUGGAAUUCCGCGUGUAGCAGUGAAAUGCGUAGAUAUGCGGAGGAACACCGAUGGCGAAGGCAAUCCCCUGGGCCUGCACUGACGCUCAUGCACGAAAGCGUGGGGAGCAAACAGGAUUAGAUACCCUGGUAGUCCACGCCCUAAACGAUGUCAACUGGUUGUUGGACGGCUUGCUGUUCAGUACGAAGCUAACGCGUGAAGUUGACCGCCUGGGGAUACGGCCGCAAGGUUG